RNAcentral lists this ribosomal RNA (253 nucleotides) under uncultured bacterium. RNAcentral describes it as "partial 16S ribosomal RNA". It matches the Rfam family "Bacterial small subunit ribosomal RNA", at positions 524 to 776 of the family's 1533-position model. The record is from RNAcentral.
UACAGAGGUCUCAAGCGUUGUUCGGAAUUACUGGGCGUAAAGGGUGCGCAGGCCGCGCGGGCAGUCAAAUGUGUAAUUCAGGGGCUCAACCCCUGCACUGCGCUUGAUACUUCCGCGCUCGAGCUUUGGAGAGGAGUCUGGAAUUCUCGGUGUAGCAGUGAAAUGCGUAGAUAUCGUGAGGAAGACCAGUGGCGAAGGCGGGUCUCUGGACAGUUCCUGACACUGAGGCACGAAGGCCAGGGGAGCAAACGGG